UACAGAGGGGGCAAGCGUUGUUCGGAAUUACUGGGCGUAAAGGGCGCGUAGGCGGCCCGCUAAGUCGAACGUGAAAUCCCCGAGCUCAACUCGGGAACUGCGUCCGAUACUGGCGGGCUUGAAUCCGGGAGAGGGAUGCGGAAUUCCAGGUGUAGCGGUGAAAUGCGUAGAUAUCUGGAGGAACACCGGUGGCGAAGGCGGCAUUCUGGACCAUAACUGACACUGAGAGACGAAAGCCAGGGGAGCAAACGGG
This 253-nucleotide ribosomal RNA is filed under the name uncultured bacterium. RNAcentral describes it as "partial 16S ribosomal RNA". It matches the Rfam family "Bacterial small subunit ribosomal RNA", at positions 524 to 776 of the family's 1533-position model. The record is from RNAcentral.